UACAGAGGUCUCAAGCGUUGUUCGGAUUCAUUGGGCGUAAAGGGUGCGUAGGUGGCGUGGUAAGUCGGGUGUGAAAUUUCGGAGCUUAACUCCGAAACUGCAUUCGAUACUGCCGUGCUUGAGGACUGGAGAGGAGACUGGAAUUUACGGUGUAGCAGUGAAAUGCGUAGAUAUCGUAAGGAAGACCAGUGGCGAAGGCGGGUCUCUGGACAGUUCCUGACACUGAGACACGAAGGCCAGGGGAGCAAACGGG
RNAcentral lists this ribosomal RNA (253 nucleotides) under uncultured bacterium. RNAcentral describes it as "partial 16S ribosomal RNA". It matches the Rfam family "Bacterial small subunit ribosomal RNA", at positions 524 to 776 of the family's 1533-position model. The record is from RNAcentral.